AAUUGGAAACGUAUGUAUUUGCCUGCAUUAUUAAUUGGAAUAACACAUAUUCUAUAUAUGAAGUAAGGUACUUGUAAUAAGCAAACAAGCAAGCAAGGGUUGAAUAAGAAGAUUAGAUUAGUGUCGUGAUGCAUUUCGCAAAGGAAUGGAAAACGGGCUUCGUGCCGAAAAGAACAACGCAACAACCCAAUUAUAAACUGCACGUCUCAGAUGCAGUUGACGGACAAGGGUCUAAGAACGGGUGCCCCUGGACGUUACGGUGUGGGAAACCUUAUCCGUGUGUUGGUGUUAUCUCACUGAUUUUUUAACUUCCGUGAAGGCCUCGUACAUUUUUUAACUUGGUGUCAGCGUAUGAUCGUCAUCAUGUGUUAGACACAUUGCGGCUCUGACAUUUUCUACGUGGGCAGCUCGUUGCUCUUCAAAGAGUUCGAAUGACCUGAAAAAGAUAUACAUGAAGUGCAAGGUAUGCCACCUCGAAUGGUCCGAGCGUCUGAGUGGUUUCGUUGGAACAGCUCCUCGUUCCCGUUCUAUCGCGAUUACAUUUCAUUGAAAUCUGACUUUAUAAACAAUAUCGCAGGAAAAUUAUUGUCCUCCUGUUGAAUUUUUGUACCUGGCGGCAGAUGUGAUAGAGAAGCCAGGGCUUGUGAAGGCAAUGGUGGGAAAUAGAUCACUCGCAAUCCAGGUGAGAGAAAAACUUACUUGAAACACUGGCGAAGACUGCUGGCCGAUGAAUCGUCGCUGCAUUUGGCCUGCUCGACUCUUCGCUGAUGGCAUGCAUCUUCCCUCUACAGAGCGAGCUAUUGAUGCCAGGUGCCACGGGUAAGAAGCAUUAAUGCACCCUUCGUCUCGCUGGUUAUUUUAU
RNAcentral lists this long non-coding RNA (862 nucleotides) under Micromonas commoda. RNAcentral describes it as "long non-coding RNA (MCOM_LNC000035)". The record is from RNAcentral. Lineage: Eukaryota; Viridiplantae; Chlorophyta; Mamiellophyceae; Mamiellales; Mamiellaceae.